AAUGAACGCUGGCGGCGUGCCCAACACAUGCAAGUCGGAUGUGCCCGCAAGGGUGCAUGGCAGACGGGUGAGUAACGCGUGGGGAAUCUACCUUUUAGUGGGGGAAUAACGCUCCGAAAGGAGUGGUAAUACCGCAUGUGACCAUUGGCUGGGAUGCUGAUGGUGAAACCCUGGGACCUUCGGGCCAGGGGCGUAGAAGAGGAUCCUGCGUCUGAUUAGCUAGUUGGCGGGGUAACGGGCCCACCAAGGCGACGAUCGAUAGCUGGUCUGAGAGGAUGAUCAGCCACACUGGAACUGAGACACGGUCCAGACUCCUACGGGAGGCAGCAGUAGGGAAUAUUGGACAAUGGGGGCGAACCCUGAUCCAGCCAUGCCGCGUGAGUGAAGAAGGCCCUCGGGUUGUAAAGCUCUUUUGUCCGGAAAGAAAGACAUCUGGUUAAUACCCGGGUGUUCUGACGGUACCGGAAGAAUAAGCACCGGCUAACUUCGUGCCAGCAGCCG
Molecule: ribosomal RNA, 501 nt
Filed under: uncultured bacterium
Lineage: Bacteria
Description: bacterial SSU rRNA
Rfam family: Bacterial small subunit ribosomal RNA
Source: RNAcentral